UACGAAGGGGGCUAGCGUUGCUCGGAAUCACUGGGCGUAAAGGGUGCGUAGGCGGGUAUUUAAGUCGGGGGUGAAAUCCUGGAGCUCAACUCCAGAACUGCCCUUGAUACUGAAGAUCUUGAGUUCGGGAGAGGUGAGUGGAACUGCGAGUGUAGAGGUGAAAUUCGUAGAUAUUCGCAAGAACACCAGUGGCGAAGGCGGCUCACUGGCCCGAUACUGACGCUGAGGCACGAAAGCGUGGGGAGCAAACAGG
RNAcentral lists this ribosomal RNA (253 nucleotides) under uncultured bacterium. Its description in RNAcentral is "partial 16S ribosomal RNA". It matches the Rfam family "Bacterial small subunit ribosomal RNA", at positions 524 to 776 of the family's 1533-position model. The record is from RNAcentral.